RNAcentral lists this ribosomal RNA (497 nucleotides) under uncultured bacterium. Its description in RNAcentral is "partial 16S ribosomal RNA". It matches the Rfam family "Bacterial small subunit ribosomal RNA", at positions 28 to 507 of the family's 1533-position model. The record is from RNAcentral.
GAUGAACGCUGGCGGCGUGCCUAAUACAUGCAAGUCGAGCGAACAGACGAGGAGCUUGCUCCUCUGACGUUAGCGGCGGACGGGUGAGUAACACGUGGAUAACCUACCUAUAAGACUGGGAUAACUUCGGGAAACCGGAGCUAAUACCGGAUAAUAUAUUGAACCGCAUGGUUCAAUAGUGAAAGACGGUUUUGCUGUCACUUAUAGAUGGAUCCGCGCCGCAUUAGCUAGUUGGUAAGGUAACGGCUUACCAAGGCAACGAUGCGUAGCCGACCUGAGAGGGUGAUCGGACACACUGGAACUUAGACACGGUCCAGACUCCUACGGGAGGCAGCAGUAGGGAAUCUUCCGCAAUGGGCGAAAGCUUGACGGAGCAACGCCGCGUGAGUGAUGAAGGUCUUCGGCUCGUAAAACUCUGUUAUUAGGGAAGAACAAAUGUGUAAGUAACUAUGCACGUCUUGACGGUACCUAAUCAGAAAGCCACGGCUAACUACGUG